GAUCCGCAAGGUGUUGCACUGGGGAAUUCAGCCCGCCUAUCGCGGCGUGGGUGCACUUUCUCAGGGACAAGAGCCACGACCGGGUCCGCGGCUGCUCGAGGUGGUGCGAAGGUUUCCAGGCACCUCACGGCGCAGGGAGCUUACAGCGCGCCGUCCUCCGAGUCUGUACGUCGCGGGCCCGAGGACGCUCGACGCGUGCCCACGGCACCUGGUCGUCAUCGUGCGUCCAACUGUGGCGCCACUGCUAGUCUUGGCAGUGCGCCGCGACUGCGCAUGUCAACCGUGAUCCGGCCGCCCGGGUGCGCUGAGGGUCGGUGACGAAUCAGUCGGCACUCCACCCGACCCGUCUUGAAACACGGACCAAGGAGUCUAACAUGUGCGCGAGUCUUGGGGACCGUCGAAUCCCGAAGGUGCAAUGAAAGUGAAUUCUGGCCCUCAGGCCGGCGGAGGCAGGAUCCCAUCCCCACGGCCGGGCGCACUGCCGGCCCGUCUCGACAGUGGCGCGGUCGUUUGCGGCCGGCGUUCGUCUGCGAGGCGGAGCAAGAGCGUACAUGUUGGUACCCGAAAGAUGGUGAACUAUGCCUGAGCAGGACGAAGUCAGAGGAAACUCUGAUGGAGGUCCGCAGCGAUUCUGACGUGAAAAUCGAUCGUCAAACUUGGGUAUAGGGGCGAAAGACUA
RNAcentral lists this ribosomal RNA (679 nucleotides) under Scintilla sp. UM302920. RNAcentral describes it as "eukaryotic LSU rRNA". The stretch from base 258 to 679 matches the Rfam family "Eukaryotic large subunit ribosomal RNA", at positions 1 to 933 of the family's 3401-position model. The record is from RNAcentral. Lineage: Eukaryota; Metazoa; Mollusca; Bivalvia; Galeommatida; Galeommatidae.